RNAcentral lists this ribosomal RNA (504 nucleotides) under uncultured bacterium. RNAcentral describes it as "partial 16S ribosomal RNA". It matches the Rfam family "Bacterial small subunit ribosomal RNA", at positions 355 to 849 of the family's 1533-position model. The record is from RNAcentral.
UAGGGAAUCUUCCACAAUGGACGCAAGUCUGAUGGAGCAACGCCGCGUGAGUGAAGAAAGGUCUUCGGAUCGUAAAGCUCUGUUGUUGGUGAAGAAGGAUAGAGGCAGUAACUGGUCUUUAUUUGACGGUAAUCAACCAGAAAGUCACGGCUAACUACGUGCCAGCAGCCGCGGUAAUACGUAGGUGGCAAGCGUUGUCCGGAUUUAUUGGGCGUAAAGCGAGCGCAGGCGGAAUGAUAAGUCUGAUGUGAAAGCCCACGGCUCAACCGUGGAACUGCAUCGGAAACUGUCAUUCUUGAGUGCAGAAGAGGAGAGUGGAACUCCAUGUGUAGCGGUGGAAUGCGUAGAUAUAUGGAAGAACACCAGUGGCGAAGGCGGCUCUCUGGUCUGCAACUGACGCUGAGGCUCGAAAGCAUGGGUAGCGAACAGGAUUAGAUACCCUGGUAGUCCAUGCCGUAAACGAUGAGCGCUAGGUGUUGGGGACUUUCCGGUUCUCAGUGCCGC